Molecule: unclassified non-coding RNA, 329 nt
Filed under: soil metagenome
Description: partial contains 5.8S ribosomal RNA, internal transcribed spacer 2, and large subunit ribosomal RNA
Rfam family: 5.8S ribosomal RNA (bases 1-120)
Source: RNAcentral
GAUGAAGAACGUAGCGAAAUGCGAUAAGUAAUGUGAAUUGCAGAAUUCAGUGAAUCAUCGAAUCUUUGAACGCACAUUGCGCCCCCUGGUAUUCCGGGGGGCAUGCCUGUCCGAGCGUCAUUACAACCCUCAAGCUCAGCUUAGUGUUGGGCCCCGCCGCCCCGGCGGGCCCUAAAGUCAGUGGCGGUGCCGUCCGGCUCCGAGCGUAGUAAUUCUUCUCGCUCUGGAGGUCCGGUCGUGUGCUCGCCAGCAACCCCCAAUUUUUUUCAGGUUGACCUCGGAUCAGGUAGGGAUACCCGCUGAACUUAAGCAUAUCAAUAAGCGGAGGA